RNAcentral lists this long non-coding RNA (248 nucleotides) under Hordeum vulgare. RNAcentral describes it as "long non-coding RNA (HVUL_LNC010597)". Lineage: Eukaryota; Viridiplantae; Streptophyta; Magnoliopsida; Poales; Poaceae. The record is from RNAcentral.
AUGAAUAAAGGAAUAUGUCAUUCCUGUGACGCACUUAGUCGGAAUAGAAUUUUCUGGCCUUUCGACUAUAGGCUGCUCAGUUCCACGGCGCCCUGAUCAUGAAAAAAAUUGGUAUUUCUCUUAUCCUGGGUCCCUGUUUUUUGGUUCUGCAGAACCAAAUCAUGGUAACCCAGUUUCAAGAAAACCAAGAGACUUCUGUAACAACUCUUCGCUAUCAAAUGGUUCAACGGUCAUAAUAUGCCUUUUCC